This 7117-nucleotide long non-coding RNA is filed under the name Citrus x clementina. RNAcentral describes it as "Citrus clementina (C. clementina) long non-coding RNA (CCLE_LNC000928)". The record is from RNAcentral. Lineage: Eukaryota; Viridiplantae; Streptophyta; Magnoliopsida; Sapindales; Rutaceae.
GACUAUUAUUAUUUACCUAAGCGUAAUUGAAAUAAAAAUAAUUAUUAAAAUAAAUCACUCAUAAUUAAAAGUAAUAAAACAACUAAAUUUGAAAAUAAAACUAGAUUUAUUUAUAAAAGUAAUUAUACAAAACAUGAAAACAUUCCUGAAAAACAAGAUUACAGAGGAAUUGAGAGAAAUUGAGAAGAAUAGAGAUUAUCAAAAACAUUAAAAUGAGACUCUAUUUAUAGAAAAAUAAAUUCAUAAUCCAGUGUUUUGCUGUCCAUCAAAAACACAACCAUUAUAUCAAGAUCCAACGGCUGGUCAAACUUCAAAAGUCAACAUUACAUGUGGCAUCUUGCGAACCGUCCGAAUUGGUCAAAGAAUUGUAGAGAUAUGGUGGGUUAAUGGGUGGAUCGGGUCGACUCGAAUACAAAGAUUCGGAUCCUACAACUUGCUUCACCAAUCAUUACCACGUGGCACGAUCAUGGCCAUUGAAUUAUGAAUGGUUGAGAUUUAGUCAAAAUUGACAACUAUCCAACGCACUCAUAUCUAUUGUAAGCUCAUGUUAUCAUCCAAUUAGUGUUCGGUCAUCAAAACAAGGUAACGUUUUGCACAAGCUCAAUUUUAAGCCAGUCUUGACUGAUCUUACAGUUUUUAAACCUUCAGAAUCCAAAUUUGAUAUUCGUUUAUCUGUUUGAAGUCUCGAAUUACGUGAUGCGAAUCCCACACUGAAACUUUGAAACCCACACUUAAUUUGUAGUUUCAACUUCCCAAGAAAGUUCUAAACAGAUUUAUGACAAACAAAACCUUGACGCCACACUCAAGAAAUAGAUGAGAAGGUGAGUGAUAAGUCUAAACUUAGAACGCCACAAGAAUGCAAAUAUCUCUAAUAUUAUUACAUAGCAAGGUUGUUGAAUUUAAACCCAAGAUCCUAAAAAUACAAAUGGAAACAUUGGAACAACCCUGCAAGUAGGUUUGUCAAAUGAUGUUUCAAAAGUCUUCACCAACCCACCAUAAUUAAUGCUAUCUUUGACAAACUUAAUGCUAGCCUACUAUAAUUAAUGCUAUCAUUGACAAACUUAAUGUUAGCCCACCAUCAUUGAUGGUAGACUUACCUUACAAAUUGACAAACUUGAAAAAAAACAAACCAAUGAAGUUGAAAAUCAAAGGAGUCGUUGAAAAUCCCAAAUCUGAACAAGCUGUAAUGAAUUAGUCAUAAUUCCUUCUAGAGAACUCCAAAUCCAGCUCUGUAAAAUUUAUUGGAAAGCUAACUUAAUUAGCUUUCCAAUGGUAUAUAGUUUGCACAUUACUUCUAGCUCAAUCAAUACAGUUUUUAUUCCGAAUUUGACCUUUCUGCAUUUGAUACAAAUUGUGUAUUUGGCGACCCAAUAACUUGAAUAAUGCCCACAAUGCCUUGAUUUCUCUUCAAGCCCAAUUCAUGAUGUCUUGCAUCUUGAAUUGCAUUUUCAAUCCAUAUUUUCUCAAUUAAUCCAUUUAAAGCAGCUUGCAUCUUUUUGGCUCUUGCUCUUGUAAUUGGGCCUCCAUGAAUGUGCAAAGGAUCACUUGAAGUUUUAAUGGUAUUCCCUUGAUGGUUCUCAUCAUUCCCCCUCUCCUCAAAAGGAUUCGUCCUUGAAUCUUCACCUACAUCAAAAGGAGAAAGAUCAGAAACAUUAAAAGUAGCACUCACAUUAUACUCACUAGGAAGAUCCAAUUUGUAGGCAUUGUCAUUGAUCCAUGCAACCACUUGAAAUAGACCAUCUCCCCUUGGAAGCAACUUGGAACGCCUUUGUGCUGGGAACCUCUCCUUUUGUAGGCAUUGUCAUUGAUCCAUGCACCCAAACCCAAUCUCCAAGCUGAAAAACCACUUGCUUACGUCCUUUGUUGGCUUGAGUAGCAUAUUGUUUAGUUCUCUUUUCUAUGUGUUGACGUGUUCUCCCAUGCAAUUGCUUGACAAAUUUAGCUUUCUUUUUACCAUCCAUACUAGCACACUCAUCAAUAGGUAAAGGUAAUAAAUCCAAAGGAGUUAAUGGAUUAAAACCAUAUACAAUCUCAAAUGGUGAAAAUUUAGUAGCUGAAUGGACAGUUCUAUUGUAAGCAAAUUCAACAUGUGGCAAACAUUCUUCCCAAGUUUUCAAGUUCUUUUGAAUAAUGGCACGCAACAAAGUAGACGGUGUUCUAUUUACAACCUUAGUUUGUCUAUCAGUUUGUGGAUGACAAGUAGUAGAAAACAAAAGUUUAGUACCCAACUUACCCCACAAAGUUUUCCAAAAGUGGCUCAAGAACUUAGCAUCUCGAUAUGAGACUAUGCUCCUUGGUACUCCAUGCAACCUGACUAUUUCCUUGAAAAACAAAUUAGCUAUGUUUGUUGCAUCAUCAGUUUUGUGACAUGGAAUGAAAUGUGCCAUCUUUGAAAACCUAUCAACAACAACAAAAACAAAAUCAUUUCCCCUUUUUGACCUAGGUAAACCCAAAACAAAGUCCAUAGAAAUAUCAACCCAAGGUUCACUAGGUAUGGGCAGAGGGUUAUACAAUCCAUGGGGUAAAACUCUAGACUUAGCAUGUUUACAAGUGAUACACUUCUCACAUAUUCUUUCAACAUCACAUUUCAUAUGUGGCCAAAAGAAGUGUUCUUUUAAAACAUCUAAAGUCUUUGCAAUGCCAAAAUGUCCCAUUAAACCACCCCCAUGAGCUUCACGCACAAGCAAUUCACACAAAGAACUAUGAGGCACACACAAUUUAUUUUCUCUAAAUAAAAGCCCAUCAUGCCUAUUGAACUUACCAAAUGCAACUUUCUCACAAGCAUUAAAUACAUUAGCAAAAUCAGGAUCGUUAACAUAUAAUUCUUUAAUGUACUCAAAUCCUAACAACUUUGCAUUCAAUGUAGAGAUAAGUGCAUACCUUCUAGAUAAUGCAUCAGCCACCACAUUCUCCUUACCUUGUUUAUAUUUGAUCACAUAAGGAAAUGGCUCAAUAAAUUCAACCCAUUUGGCAUGUCUCUUAUGUAACUUACCUUGCCCUUUCAAAUGCUUCAAGGACUCAUGAUCAGUGUGUAUAACAAACUCUUUAGGUAGAAGAUAAUGUUGCCAAGUUUCCAAUGCUCUUACCAAUGCAUACAUCUGCUUGUCAUAGGUAGGAUAGUUUAGGGUUGCUCCACUCAAUUUCUCACUAAAGUAAGCAAUUGGACGCCCUUCUUGCAUCAAAACAGCUCCAAUACCUAUACCUAAAGCAUCACACUCAAUUUCAAAAGUUUUAGUAAAAUCAGGUAAAGCAAGUAAUGGUGCAGAAACCAAUUUCUCCUUAAUUAGAUUAAAUGCCCUUUCUUGUUCACUACCCCACUUAAAUCCCACAUGUUUCUUCACAAUUUCAGUUAAUGGUGCAGCAAGGGUGCUAAAAUCUUUCACAAAUCUUCUAUAAAAACUAGCCAAACCAUGAAAAAUUCUUACCACACUUACACUUUUAGGUGUAGGCCACUCUUUAAUAGCCUUUACUUCUCUUCAUCAACCUCAAUUCCUUUAGCACUUACAACAUAACCAAGAAAAAAAAUCUGAUUUGUACAAAAGGAACACUUCUUCAAAUUAGCAUACAACUUUUCCUUCCUUAAAACAGUCAAUACACUUUGCAAAUGUUCAAUGUGUUCAUCUAAGCCUUUGCUAUAGAUCAAAAUAUCAUCAAAAUAGAUAACUACGAAUUUACCAAUAAAAGCACCCAAAAUAUGGUUCAUUAACCUCAUAAAAAGUGCUAGGUGCAUUAGANNNNNNNNNNNNNNNNNNNNNNNNNNNNNNNNNNNNNNNNNNNNNNNNNNNNNNNNNNNNNNNNNNNNNNNNNNNNNNNNNNNNNNNNNNNNNNNNNNNNNNNNNNNNNNNNNNNNNNNNNNNNNNNNNNNNNNNNNNNNNNNNNNNNNNNNNNNNNNNNNNNNNNNNNNNNNNNNNNNNNNNNNNNNNNNNNNNNNNNNNNNNNNNNNNNNNNNNNNNNNNNNNNNNNNNNNNNNNNNNNNNNNNNNNNNNNNNNNNNNNNNNNNNNNNNNNNNNNNNNNNNNNNNNNNNNNNNNNNNNNNNNNNNNNNNNNNUAUUAGGAAUGGUAGCUCCAGGGAUGAAGUCUAUUGAUGCUCAAUCCCCUAAUAGGUGGCAAACCGUUAGGGACUUCAUUUGGAAACACAUCAUCAAAGUCUGCAAAAGAGUCACAAUAGCACUAGGCAAAGAAAAGUUAAGCUCAUUAGUGUGUAAACAAGCCUCUUUGCACAAAAGUACAAUGAUAGGCUGUUUUGAAAAGAAAGCCCUCUUAACCUCGUUCUCUUUUGCAAACAAGUUCACUUGUUGCCUCUGUUUUCUCUCAACAAUAUUUUUUUCUAUCUUUUCACUUGGUUUUCUUUCAAUCUCUCUUUCUUUUGUACUCUCAUUUUCAUUUUUUGUAUCACUCUCUUUUGGUAUUGACAUUUGAUCCUCAUACACUUGCCUAGGUGUUAAUGGUACAAGAGUGAUUUGCCUUUUAUUCAUUACAAAAGAAUAUCUAUUUAAGUAACCAUCAUGUGUCACACGCCUAUCAUAUUGCCAAGGUCGACCCAAAAGAAUGUGUCCAGCAUGCAUGGGUACUACAUCACAUAGAACCUCAUCCUUGUAUCUCCCAAUAGAGAAUGAAACCAGCACUUGUUUAUUUACUUUAACAUCCCCACAAUCAUUCAACCAUUGUAGCUUAUAUGGCCUUGGAUGUUUCAAAGUUUUCAAAUUUAAUUUUUCAACUAAACUAGUGCUAGCUACAGUAGUACAACUUCCACCAUCAAUUAUCAUACUACAUACCUUAUCUUUGAUGUGGCAUCUAGUAUGAAAGAUGUUAUCACGUUGUACCUCCGCAUCCUCUUUUACUUGCAUGUUGAGAGCACACCUAGCAACCAUCAAUUUACCAUCAAUAGGAUAUUCUACACCAUCAUUAGCAUCCUCCAAAGGUGGCAUAGGAUCAUCAUUUGAUUCACUCUCGUAUUUGGGCAUUGAGAUGCAAUAUGACCUGUCCCCAAACAUUUAAAACACUUAAUAUCUCUAUUUCUAGAGUGUUGGGAAUCAGAUUUACCUUUGCUUUGGUUGCCUCCCUCUUUAUGAUCCUUGAUUGGCUCAAUCUUAGGCUUUGAAACAACCUUUUCAUCUUUGCUCCAUUUUGACUUCCAUGAGGAAGAUGAACCCAAAUUGGUUCUAGUUCCACUUUCAUGGCCAUGUGAACCAUGUCUUCCAACUCAACAUAGUGCUUCAAGUCAACCACAUUAACAAUAUCUUGAUUUAAACCAUGUAAAAAUCUUGCCAUAGUGGCCUCUCGUUCUUCUUCAAUGUUGGCUCGAAUCAUGAUUAUUUCCAUCUCCUUGUGGUAAUCUUCCACACUUCUAGAACCUUGUGUAAGACUUUGAAGCCUUUGGUGCAGCUCCCUAUAAUAAUGACUAGGAACAAAUCUCCUCCUCAUGAUGGCCUUCAUCUCAUCCCAAGUGUUUAUAGGCCUUUCACGAUUUCGUCUCCUACUCAAAACCAGUUGAUCCCACCAAAUAAUAGCAUAAUCAAUAAAUUCAACAGCAGCUAGUUUUACCUUUUUCUCCUCAGAGUAGUUGUGGCAAUCCAAUACUAGCUCCACCUUUUUUUCCCACUCCAAAUAAGCUUCCGGAUCAUUUUGACCUUGAAAAGAAGGAAUUUUUAGUUUGAUAAUCCCCAAAUCACGAUCUAUACGUCUUGCCCUUCUAUUAUUUCUUCCACGCAUGUCAACAGUGGCCUGGUCAUCAAAAUCAUCUAUGUCAUCGCCAUCUUCUUCUCCCAUGAUAGCACGCCCUUGAUUACGUCUUACAUUAGGAGCUAUUGGUUGUUGUCCCCAUUGUCGAUUAGCUAUGGCAGUGUCUUGCCUCUCCAAUUUGUCAUGUAUCUCUCCAAACAUCAGAUUCAUGUGCUCAAAUUGUUGUUGCAUGGCUUUGAGCAUGAUUGAUUGGUCUAUAGCUUCUUGAUCUUUUGACAUAUUUUUGAUCUGAAAAGAAUGUUAGCAAAAAGACCUCACAACACUCACUCACGUGUUUCAUUCAAUUUGAUGUCACUUAACUCUCGUGUUUAACACACAAAUUGGCUUUUACCCUCUAAUGAUCUCACAAACUUUUGCCUUUUACCACACUUAAUUCUCUCUUUCAGUUCUUUAUUGAACUAAAUAAAUAAAAUCAAGAAAAAAAAAACCCAAGUGGCACACCAAAUAUGACAAUCCAGCACACUAACAAAGAAAAGAAAUUAAGAGGACACAAAGAAUGAAAAGGAAAUUGAAGAAAGGAAAGAAAGCAAGCAAGGCAACACAAUUGAUAUGUGUGUAAACUAUGCCAAGGAAAAUGAAUAACUAAAAUUCAAUUUGAUGAAAGUAGAAAUACUUGAAUCCUUUUGUAAUCUUUUUUUUUGUACGUUUUUCUUUUUUUUAUAAUAAAAAUAAAUAAGACAUUCAAACCUGAUUAGAAACUAGCUCUGAUACCAAAUGAUGUGAAUCCCAUAAUGAAACAUUGAAACCCACACUUAAUUUGUAGUUUCAACUUCCCAAGAAAGUUCUAAACAGAUUUAUGACAAACAAAACCUUGACCCAAUGCUUAAGAAAACAUGAACCAAAGGUAUAGAAAAUGAUAUUGACGCCACACUCAAAAAAUAGAUGAGAAGGUGAGUGAUAAGUCUAAAUUUAGAACGCCACAAGAAUGCCAAAAGAACCAAAGAAAGAAUAAUCUUUCAAAUUCAAAUAACAUUAAUCUCUAAUAUUAUUACAUAGCAAGGUUGUUGAAUUUAAAUAGGCUAAAAGAAACCCAAGAUCCUAAAAAUAUAAAUGGAAACAUUGGAACAACCCUCCAAGUAGGUUUGUCAAAGGAUGUUUCAAAAGUCUUCACCAACCCACCAUAAUUAAUGCUAUCUUUGACAAACUUAAUGCUAGCCUACUAUAAUUAAUGCUAUCAUUGACAAACUUAAUGUUAGCCCACCAUCAUUGAUGGUAGACUUACCUUACACAUUGACAAACUUAAUGUUAGCCCACCAUCAUUGAUGGUAGACUUACCUUACACAUUGACAAACUUGAAACAAAACAAACAAAUGAAGUUGAAACUACAAAUUAAGUGUGGGUUUCAAAGUUUCAUUGUGGGAUUCACAUCAUUACG